AAUGGACGAAAGUCUGACGCAGCGACGCCGCGUGGGUGACGAAGGCCUUCGGGUUGUAAAGCCCUGUGGGGAGAGACGAACCGGCAUCUGGCUAACAUCCAGGUGCUCUGACGGUAUCUCCUUAGCAAGCAUCGGCUAACUCUGUGCCAGCGGCCGCGGUAAGACAGAGGAUGCAAACGUUGCUCGGAAUUACUGGGCGUAAAGCGCGCGCAGGCGGUCCGGUAAGUCGGGUGUGAAAGCCCCGGGCUCAACCCUGGAAGUUCACUCGAUACUGCGGGACUGGAGUACUGGAGAGGAGAGCGGAAUUCUCGGUGUAGAGGUGAAAUGCGUAGAUAUCGGGAGGAACACCAGCGGCGAAGGCGGCUCUCUGGACAGAUACUGACGCUGAGGCGCGAAAGCGUGGGAAGCAAA
Molecule: ribosomal RNA, 411 nt
Filed under: uncultured bacterium
Lineage: Bacteria
Description: bacterial SSU rRNA
Rfam family: Bacterial small subunit ribosomal RNA
Source: RNAcentral